Molecule: ribosomal RNA, 450 nt
Filed under: uncultured bacterium
Lineage: Bacteria
Description: partial 16S ribosomal RNA
Rfam family: Bacterial small subunit ribosomal RNA
Source: RNAcentral
GUGGGGAAUAUUCCGCAAUGGACGAAAGUCUGACGGAGCAACGCCGCGUGAGUGAUGAAGGUUUUCGGACUGUAAAGCUCUGUUGUUUAGGACGAAAGUGCCUGUUGCGAAUAGUUACAGGUAUUGACGGUACUGAACGAGGAAGCCACGGCUAACUACGUGCCAGCAGCCGCGGUAAUACGUAGGUGGCAAGCGUUGUCCGGAAUUAUUGGGCGUAAAGAGCAUGUAGGCGGAGAUUUAAGUCUGUUGUGAAAAUGCGGGGCUCAACCCCGUAUGGCGAUGGAAACUGAAUUUCUUGAGUGCAGGAGAGGAAAGGGGAAUUCCCAGUGUAGCGGUGAAAUGCGUAGAUAUUGGGAGGAACACCAGUGGCGAAGGCGCCUUUCUGGACUGUGUCUGACGCUGAGAUGCGAAAGCCAGGGUAGCGAACGGGAUUAGAAACCCGAGUAGUCC